This 463-nucleotide ribosomal RNA is filed under the name uncultured bacterium. RNAcentral describes it as "bacterial SSU rRNA". It matches the Rfam family "Bacterial small subunit ribosomal RNA", at positions 29 to 523 of the family's 1533-position model. The record is from RNAcentral.
AACGAACGCUGGCGGCAGGCCUAACACAUGCAAGUCGAACGCCGUAGCGAUACGGAGUGGCAGACGGGUGAGUAACGCGUGGGAACAUACCCCUCGGUUCGGAAUAACUCAGGGAAACUUGAGCUAAUACCGGAUAAGUCCGAGGUUUUAAUCGACCUUGGAGAAAGAUUUAUCGCCGGAGGAUUGGCCCGCGUCUGAUUAGCUUGUUGGUGAGGUAAUGGCUCACCAAGGCGACGANCAGUAGCUGGUCUGAGAGGAUGAUCAGCCACAUUGGGACUGAGACACGGCCCAAACUCCUACGGGAGGCAGCAGUGGGGAAUAUUGGACAAUGGGCGAAAGCCUGAUCCAGCCAUGCCGCGUGAGUGAUGAAGGCCUUAGGGUUGUAAAGCUCUUUACCCGGGAAGAUAAUGACGGUACCGGGGAAGUAACGCCCCGGCUAACUUCGUGCCAGCAGCCGCCGUAA